AUGGUUGAAUAAGGUAAAGGAAAAGAAAGUCUGGCUAAGUUCUCCAGAGUUCAGGGAGCUUACAAAUAAGUGGAGAAAUGUUUGACCUGCAUAGCAGUCUCAGCUCACAUCAGAACGAUAUCAGCUGUGUGUACUGAGGACCAUGGAAACAAGGUAUGGAGAAAGGGAAGCUUCCCUAGGCACAGGAGCACAGCCCCUCCCCAGAGUUGAUGGGCAGAUAUAAGGUGUGGGUGGGAAGCAGACUUCAGAUACAGGUGCCCAUUGUCUUGACGUGAACAGGAGAGCCCUGGCUGCCUGAAUACCUCUGCCAGGGGCUAAAGAGAUGAAGCUGCAUGUGGUCAGUGCUAGGGAACUUCAAACCUCUUCCAGCAUCCUGUAUAGAAUGAAGAAGACCAGGACCCAAAGGUCCCGCCGACGUCCUGCACUGCCCUGCCUCUGCCAAACAAAUGAUUACAGCUUUUCUACUGACAUCCAGGAAACUAAAUUGGAGUAGAAAGAGGUCUCUGAAGGAACAUACAUGUGCACAAAGUGAUCACAGUUCUGGAAUUGUGAUGUUGCCACUGUAGAACAAUUUCUGGAAAAAGGACUAACAGUCUGUGGAAACAGCCAUCAAUAGUCAACAGACAUUUAAGAUCAUUGAUAUGAAUGCCCAAAUGAAAGCCCUGGUUUGGAGUGUGAAUUAGGAGCUCUCCUACCAUUCUAACUUCACCAUUUCUAGGAUCCAGCAAUGGUUUCUGACCAGAAAUUCCACCUUGCACAAAAACUUCUGCUAAAUUACAUUUUAUUGAAAAACUUGGGAUUAGACAAAUGGCUGCUUUGAGUGAGAAACAGCUUUGGUCCAGUUGCACUGACCUCCUCAAGCGUCUUUAAGAUCUCUCUGUAAAAGCUUUGCUGGUAGCCCAUGGAGGACUUUGGAUAAGUGUUCCCUCAUUGUCAAGCACAUAUCUCACACAGUGUAGACCCAGCCAGUGGCUGAGAGGGGAUCUCUGCUAAUUGGGUAUGUCUGUCUCAAAUGCCUGGCUACCAGCUGGCAGAGGCAAUGGCCUUUGCACUGCCACCUUGGCAGAGGAGCUCUAUGACUGCCAUCUGUUGGCCUCCAAAAUCACAUUUUCUAGAUAAACACAGUCUCCCAGUGGGAAAUAUGGCUUCUCAUCAUGAGUGAAGAUAAAAUGUCCUUCCAGCACUGGAGGGAUCCUCGGGAACCUUCUAGAUCAUGACCAAAUGUGUAGCCAUCACUUUAUAAUGGACUUAAUCCUUUAUCUUCUUGCAUACCAUGGAAGAAGAAUAUACUCAUUUUCUAAAGAUUCUGUAAGAAGUUCUGCCUUUCUACCUAAGAUCUCUGUAGUUAAAGAGAAGAAAUGAUUUUUUUGUUGCUGUGGGUUCUCAUUUGUUUGUUAGUUUUGCUUUUGUUUUUCCCCAUUGGUGAUGUUGAAUGCUUAAUCACACUUUCAUGAGAACAUGAAUUUCUCUUUGGAUUCUUCUCUGGGUUGCAG
RNAcentral lists this long non-coding RNA (1493 nucleotides) under Numida meleagris (helmeted guineafowl). RNAcentral's name for it is "lncRNA (ENSNMEG00000006615.1)". Lineage: Eukaryota; Metazoa; Chordata; Aves; Galliformes; Numididae. The record is from RNAcentral.